This 337-nucleotide long non-coding RNA is filed under the name Lupinus angustifolius (narrow-leaved blue lupine). RNAcentral's name for it is "long non-coding RNA (LANG_LNC000839)". The record is from RNAcentral. Lineage: Eukaryota; Viridiplantae; Streptophyta; Magnoliopsida; Fabales; Fabaceae.
UGGUUCUCCAUAUCCAUAAAGAGAUCUCAUCUGUCCAUAGCCUUUCUUGUCUCCUCCUUUCCAUCUUUUUCCCCACACCAUAUUUGGUUUGAAAAUACAAUAAUACACCUGGCCACUUCAUGUCCCAAUCACCCGGGGAAACCAAAACCGUUCAUUCAACAACCACCAAAGCAAGCGACCAGAGGAAGCCACAAAUAUACAUAAAUUAUUAAAAAUCGUGAGAUAGAAUGAGAAUGAGUCUAUGGAUGAAUGGAAAGGGUUCUUGAACUUGUUUACACUUUUAGCAUCAAUACCUAUAAUUUGAACAGGUUUAUGCAAGGCAAGGGGGUAGCACAAC